This 1095-nucleotide ribosomal RNA is filed under the name Escherichia coli. RNAcentral describes it as "partial 23S ribosomal RNA". It matches the Rfam family "Bacterial large subunit ribosomal RNA", at positions 165 to 1298 of the family's 2925-position model. The record is from RNAcentral. Lineage: Bacteria; Pseudomonadati; Pseudomonadota; Gammaproteobacteria; Enterobacterales; Enterobacteriaceae.
CAUAGGUUAAUGAGGCGAACCGGGGGAACUGAAACAUCUAAGUACCCCGAGGAAAAGAAAUCAACCGAGAUUCCCCCAGUAGCGGCGAGCGAACGGGGAGCAGCCCAGAGCCUGAAUCAGUAUGUGUGUUAGUGGAAGCGUCUGGAAAGGCGCGCGAUACAGGGUGACAGCCCCGUACACAAAAAUGCACAUGCUGUGAGCUCGAUGAGUAGGGCGGGACACGUGGUAUCCUGUCUGAAUAUGGGGGGACCAUCCUCCAAGGCUAAAUACUCCUGACUGACCGAUAGUGAACCAGUACCGUGAGGGAAAGGCGAAAAGAACCCCGGCGAGGGGAGUGAAAAAGAACCUGAAACCGUGUACGUACAAGCAGUGGGAGCACGCUUAGGCGUGUGACUGCGUACCUUUUGUAUAAUGGGUCAGCGACUUAUAUUCUGUAGCAAGGUUAACCGAAUAGGGGAGCCGAAGGGAAACCGAGUCUUAACUGGGCGUUAAGUUGCAGGGUAUAGACCCGAAACCCGGUGAUCUAGCCAUGGGCAGGUUGAAGGUUGGGUAACACUAACUGGAGGACCGAACCGACUAAUGUUGAAAAAUUAGCGGAUGACUUGUGGCUGGGGGUGAAAGGCCAAUCAAACCGGGAGAUAGCUGGUUCUCCCCGAAAGCUAUUUAGGUAGCGCCUCGUGAAUUCAUCUCCGGGGGUAGAGCACUGUUUCGGCAAGGGGGUCAUCCCGACUUACCAACCCGAUGCAAACUGCGAAUACCGGAGAAUGUUAUCACGGGAGACACACGGCGGGUGCUAACGUCCGUCGUGAAGAGGGAAACAACCCAGACCGCCAGCUAAGGUCCCAAAGUCAUGGUUAAGUGGGAAACGAUGUGGGAAGGCCCAGACAGCCAGGAUGUUGGCUUAGAAGCAGCCAUCAUUUAAAGAAAGCGUAAUAGCUCACUGGUCGAGUCGGCCUGCGCGGAAGAUGUAACGGGGCUAAACCAUGCACCGAAGCUGCGGCAGCGACGCUGAUGCGUUGUUGGGUAGGGGAGCGUUCUGUAAGCCUGCGAAGGUGUGCUGUGAGGCAUGCUGGAGGUAUCAGAAGUGCGAAUGCU